This 481-nucleotide ribosomal RNA is filed under the name uncultured bacterium. Its description in RNAcentral is "partial 16S ribosomal RNA". It matches the Rfam family "Bacterial small subunit ribosomal RNA", at positions 28 to 523 of the family's 1533-position model. The record is from RNAcentral.
GACGAACGCUGGCGGCGUGCUUAACACAUGCAAGUCGAACGCUGAAGCCCUUCGGGGUGGAUGAGUGGCGAACGGGUGAGUAACACGUGGGUAAUCUGCCCUGCACUCUGGGAUAAGCCUUGGAAACGGGGUCUAAUACCGGAUAGGACACAUCGCCGCAUGGUGUGUGUGUGGAAAGUUCCGGCGGUGCAGGUUGAGCCCGCGGCCUAUCAGCUUGUUGGUGGGGUGAUGGCCUACCAAGGCGACGACGGGUAGCCGGCCUGGGAGGGUGACCGGCCACACUGGGACUGAGACACGGCCCAGACUCCUACGGGAGGCAGCAGUGGGGAAUCUUGCGCAAUGGGCGAAAGCCUGACGCAGCAACGCCGCGUGGGGGAUGACGGCCUUCGGGUUGUAAACCUCUUUCGACCGGGACGAAGGGUUCGUUUGACGGUACCGGUAGAAGAAGCACCGGCUAACUACGUGCCAGCAGCCGCCGCGG